UUGGUCAUUUAGAGGAAGUAAAAGUCGUAACAAGGUCUCCGUUGGUGAACCAGCGGAGGGAUCAUUACCGAGUUUACAACUCCCAAACCCAAUGUGAACGUUACCAAACUGUUGCCUCGGCGGGAUCUCUGCCCCGGGUGCGUCGCAGCCCCGGACCAAGGCGCCCGCCGGAGGACCAACCAAAACUCUUUUGUAUACCCCCUCGCGGGUUUUUAUAUCUGAGCCAUCUCGGCGCCUCUCGUAGGCGUUUCGAAAAUGAAUCAAAACUUUCAACAACGGAUCUCUUGGUUCUGGCAUCGAUGAAGAACGCAGCGAAAUGCGAUAAGUAAUGUGAAUUGCAGAAUUCAGUGAAUCAUCGAAUCUUUGAACGCACAUUGCGCCCGCCAGUAUUCUGGCGGGCAUGCCUGUCCGAGCGUCAUUUCAACCCUCGAACCCCUCCGGGGGGUCGGCGUUGGGGAUCGGCCCUUUACGGGGCCGGCCCCGAAAUACAGUGRCGGUCUCGCCGCAGCCUCUCCUGCGCAGUAGUUUGCACACUCGCAUCGGGAGCGCGGCGCGUCCAUUGCCGUAAAACACCCAACUUUCUGAAAUGUUGACCUCGGAUCAGGUAGGAAUACCCGCUGAACUUAAGCAUAUCAAUAAAGCGGAGG
Molecule: ribosomal RNA, 647 nt
Filed under: fungal sp. ARIZ L36
Lineage: Eukaryota; Fungi
Description: eukaryotic LSU rRNA
Rfam family: 5.8S ribosomal RNA (bases 265-418)
Source: RNAcentral